Panthera uncia (snow leopard) is the source of this 1268-nucleotide long non-coding RNA. RefSeq lists it as uncharacterized. The transcript has 10 exons. The record is from RefSeq and is a predicted model, not a curated record. NCBI's taxonomy places the organism in Eukaryota, Metazoa, Chordata, Mammalia, Carnivora, Felidae.
CUUUUUUAAAAGGUGAAGCGAGGGAAAAAUAAAAAGUGAGCGUGGCUUGCCUGAGCACUAAUACAUUGCAUUUAUUGGUUGGUGGGGGAGGGGUAAGAGCUCGGCCACGGCCUUGAGUCCACGAAGCAGCCGCGGCGCUUUGUGAAGGACAAGAUGGCGAUGGCGGGCCGUGCCGGCGGCCCUCUCUGUGAUGAGAGCCUUUUCACAGACCUGUACUGAGCUCCGUGAGGAUAAGAAACUCUGAAGAGACGGGCCUUGCACAGCCGAGAUGCGACACAGUCGUAGCUCCGGCGGACAAAACGAUUGUGAAAAAGCCGGUGUUGAUUUAAUGUCUUCUUGUCUGCAGGGUUCAGGCGCACGUCUGAACGCUAGAAUGGAAAAGAGCCGACCUGUUAGGAUGUGGUUCAGCUCAAAAGACCUUCCGGGUUGGAGGAUGGGACAAGACCCAUCCCUGCAAAGUAAGCUUCCAGUGAUGCUCCAGGUGGGUAUGCAGUGAUUUACCGCAGUUAAAGGUGGGCACUGUGUCUAGAUGGGGUUUGUUCUUGUUCAGAUUAUGCUGGCCACUCUGUGAUGAACAUAAAAAAGACAAGCAUAUGGCUGAUCUUAAAAGUGAUGUCAUCUUCCUGCUGAGAAGUGGACCAAGAGUAUUCAAGGACCUAUGAAUGGCUAUUUUUAGGUACAUAUAAUGCCUUCUUUUCUGUUUCCAGCGUCUCCUCCCCAGGCCUGAGGAAUCCAGCUGCCUCCAAGGGUGAAGACAGGUCGUCCUGAUGGUGGUAAUAUGUUGAUUUACCUUAUGAUGCCCACUGAUGUGCUCAGGGUCGAACUCGUGGAAAGAGUUAAGGAUGGAGCAGCUUGUUCGUGUAUACUACCAAAAGGCCUCCAGAGUUAACAGGUAUGGUUACCCAUAACCUGCUCAUUUGCUCAGAGGUUCAGCACCUUCUCUGGAGCCCAAGAAUGAUUUGAGGUACCCUCAGCCAUUUCUCUGCUCAGCUCCAGCCUGAAGUCAGGUCUGAAGAAGGAACAAGGCAUAGAUAAUGGACAGGGAGACGGAAUCCCAAGUAGACCUCAUGCUGUCCAGUGCAGAGCCCAACGCAGGACUUGAACUCUGAAACUGAGAUAACCUGAGCUGGAUUCAAUGGUUCAACAUAUAAUAGACUGAGCCAAUGAGGUGCCCCUAAAAAAAUUUUUCUUAAGUCAAUGCUAAAAGGCUUACUUUGGCCAAUUAUUGUGUUUAUCCUGUUGGUGUAAAUAUAACUUGAUGAGAAUAA